UACGUAGGACCCAAGCGUUAUCCGGAGUGACUGGGCGUAAAGAGUUGCGUAGGUGGUUUGUAAAGUGAAUAGUGAAGUCUGGCGGCUCAACCGUACAGGCUAUUAUUCAAACUCACAAACUCGAGAAUGGUAGAGGUAACUGGAAUUUCUUGUGUAGGAGUGAAAUCCGUAGAUAUAAGAAGGAACACCAAUGGCGUAGGCAGGUUACUGGACCAUUUCUGACACUGAGGCACGAAAGCGUGGGGAGCGAACCGG
RNAcentral lists this ribosomal RNA (255 nucleotides) under uncultured bacterium. Its description in RNAcentral is "partial 16S ribosomal RNA". It matches the Rfam family "Bacterial small subunit ribosomal RNA", at positions 524 to 776 of the family's 1533-position model. The record is from RNAcentral.